RNAcentral lists this ribosomal RNA (433 nucleotides) under uncultured bacterium. RNAcentral describes it as "partial 16S ribosomal RNA". It matches the Rfam family "Bacterial small subunit ribosomal RNA", at positions 29 to 507 of the family's 1533-position model. The record is from RNAcentral.
AACGAACGCUGGCGGCAUGCCUAACACAUGCAAGUCGAACGAUGCCUUCGGGCAUAGUGGCGCACGGGUGCGUAACGCGUGGGAAUCUGCCUUUCGGUUCGGAAUAACUCAGGGAAACUUGAGCUAAUACCGGAUAACGUCGCAAGACCAAAGAUUUAUCGCCGAAAGAUGAGCCCGCGUAGGAUUAGCUAGUUGGUGAGGUAAAGGCUCACCAAGGCGACGAUCCUUAGCUGGUCUGAGAGGAUGAUCAGCCACACUGGGACUGAGACACGGCCCAGACUCCUACGGGAGGCAGCAGUGGGGAAUAUUGGACAAUGGGCGAAAGCCUGAUCCAGCAAUGCCGCGUGAGUGAUGAAGGCCUUAGGGUUGUAAAGCUCUUUUACCCGGGAAGAUAAUGACGGUACCGGGAGAAUAAGCCCCGGCUAACUCCGUG